UCACGGACACCAGAUGCAGGGGG
RNAcentral lists this unclassified non-coding RNA (23 nucleotides) under Mus musculus (house mouse). RNAcentral describes it as "oocyte_clustered_small_RNA13980". The record is from RNAcentral. Lineage: Eukaryota; Metazoa; Chordata; Mammalia; Rodentia; Muridae.